RNAcentral lists this ribosomal RNA (497 nucleotides) under uncultured bacterium. RNAcentral describes it as "partial 16S ribosomal RNA". It matches the Rfam family "Bacterial small subunit ribosomal RNA", at positions 28 to 507 of the family's 1533-position model. The record is from RNAcentral.
GAUGAACGCUGGCGGCGUGCCUAAUACAUGCAAGUCGAGCGAACAGAUAAGGAGCUUGCUCCUUUGACGUUAGCGGCGGACGGGUGAGUAACACGUGGGUAACCUACCUAUAAGACUGGGAUAACUUCGGGAAACCGGAGCUAAUACCGGAUAAUAUUUCGAACCGCAUGGUUCGAUAGUGAAAGAUGGUUUUGCUAUCACUUAUAGAUGGACCCGCGCCGUAUUAGCUAGUUGGUAAGGUAACGGCUUACCAAGGCGACGAUACGUAGCCGACCUGAGAGGGUGAUCGGCCACACUGGAACUGAGACACGGUCCAGACUCCUACGGGAGGCAGCAGUAGGGAAUCUUCCGCAAUGGGCUAAAGCCUGACGGAGCAACGCCGCGUGAGUGAUGAAGGUCUUCGGAUCGUAAAACUCUGUUAUUAGGGAAGAACAUACGUGUAAGUAACUGUGCACGUCUUGACGGUACCUAAUCAGAAAGCCACGGCUAACUACGUG